Molecule: ribosomal RNA, 1321 nt
Filed under: metagenome
Description: SSU rRNA
Rfam family: Eukaryotic small subunit ribosomal RNA
Source: RNAcentral
AUACCGGGCGUAUAUGCGUCUGGUAAUUGGAAUGAGUACAAUUUAAAUCCCUUAACGAGGAUCAAUUGGAGGACAAGUCUGGUGCCAGCACCCGCGGUAAUUCCAGCUCCAAUAGCGUAUAUUCAAGUUGUUGCAGUUAAAAAGCUCGUAGUUGGAUUUCUGGUACGGUGCGCCUGACCCACAGUCGAAAGGCUCGUGAAGUGUCGGUGUGCGUCUGCCAUCCUUUGAGGAAGCUUAUCUCACUUCAGUGGGAGGUAGGUGAUCUCAAUCUUUUACUUUGAAAAAAUUAGAGUGUUUAAAGCAGGCUUGCGCCUUGAAUACAUUAGCAUGGAAUAAUAAUUUAGGACUUUUUUCCUAUUUUGUUGGUUUUAAGGAAUUAAGUAAUGAUUGAUAGGGAUAGUUGGGGGUGCUAGUAUUCAUCGGCCAGAGGUGAAAUUCUUGGAUUCGAUGAAGACUAACUUAUGCGAAAGCAUUCACCAAGGAUGUCUUCUUUAAUCAAGAACGAAAGUUGGGGGAUCGAAGACGAUCAGAUACCGUCGUAGUCUCAACCAUAAACUAUACCAAUUCAGGAUACGUAGAAGUUGCUUUUUCGACUCUAUGUGCACUGUAUGAGAAAUCAAAAUCUUUGGGUUCUGGGGGGAGUAUGGUCGCAAGGCUGAAACUUAAAGGAAUUGACGGAAGGGCACCACCAGGAGUGGAGCCUGCGGCUUAAUUUGACCCAACACGGGGAAACUUACCAGGUCCAGACAUAGUGAGGAUUGACAGAUUGAAGUUCUUUCUUGAUUCUAUGGGUGGUGGUGCAUGGCCGUUCUUAGUUGGUGGUGCGAAUUGUCUGGUUAAUUCCGUUAACGAACGAGACCUCGACCUACUAAAUAGUUUGACGUAGAUACGUCUAUGUACAAGCUUCUUAGAGGGACUGUCGGUUUGUAGCCGAAGGAAGUUCGAGGCAAUAACAGGUCUGUGAUGCCCUUAGAUGUUCUGGCCGCACGCGCGCUUCACUGAUACGUUCAUCGAGCUUACAACCUUGAUUGAGAGGUCUGGGUAAUCUUUUCAAAACGUAUCGUGCUGGGGAUAGAUCAUUGUAAUUAUUGAUCUUCAACGAGGAAUUCCUAGUAAGCGCGAGUCAUCAACUCGCACUGAUUACGUCCCUGCCCUUUGUACACACCGCCCGUCGCUGCUACCGAUUGAAUGCAUUAGUGAGUGCUAGGGAUCGAGGCUUAAGCUGGGGCAACUUGGCUUUUGUUUUGAGAACUAUUACAAACUUGCGCAUUUAGAGGAAGCAAAAGUCGUAACAAGGUUUCCGUAGGUGAACCUGCGGAAG